GCCUGUCUGGCUCAGUUGGCAGAGCAUGUGACUCUUGAUCUCAGGGGUGUGAGUUCGAGCUCCACAUUGGGUA
RNAcentral lists this transfer RNA (73 nucleotides) under Ailuropoda melanoleuca (giant panda). It matches the Rfam family "tRNA". From Rfam's summary of the family: Transfer RNA (tRNA) molecules are approximately 80 nucleotides in length. Lineage: Eukaryota; Metazoa; Chordata; Mammalia; Carnivora; Ursidae. The record is from Rfam by way of RNAcentral.